Molecule: ribosomal RNA, 421 nt
Filed under: uncultured bacterium
Lineage: Bacteria
Description: bacterial SSU rRNA
Rfam family: Bacterial small subunit ribosomal RNA
Source: RNAcentral
UGGCGAGUGGCGAACGGGUGAGUAAUACAUCGGAACGUACCCUGAAGUGGGGAUAACGUAGCGAAAGUUACGCUAAUACCGCAUAUUCUGUGAGCAGGAAAGAGGGGGAUCGCAAGACCUCUUGCUUUAGGAGCGGCCGAUGUCGGAUUAGCUAGUUGGUGAGGUAAAGGCUCACCAAGGCGACGAUCCGUAGCGGGUCUGAGAGGAUGAUCCGCCACACUGGGACUGAGACACGGCCCAGACUCCUACGGGAGGCAGCAGUGGGGAAUUUUGGACAAUGGGCGCAAGCCUGAUCCAGCCAUGCCGCGUGAGUGAAGAAGGCCUUCGGGUUGUAAAGCUCUUUCGGUGGGGAAGAAAUUGCACAGGAUAAUACCUUGUGUAGAUGACGGUACCCGCAUAAGAAGCACCGGCUAACUACGUG